AAAGGCAAAGAAUGUUUCCCCCUGCCAAUCUCAUUCCUCUGCUCCUUUUCCAAGGCAGUGAGUCUUUUCCUCUCCCAAGCAAUGAGUUUGAAGAAGUCGAUUCUGCUAAUCUCAUUCCUUUGCUCUUUGAAGGUCAUCGCUUUGUUUUCUCUUACGGUUUCUGUUCGGCGUCGACUAAUGAAGCUUCAAAGGAUAUGUACUAAAUAGGCUCUAUGAAGACGUCUUGCUACUGUUUCAUAGUUCUCAAUUAAUGGGCUUGGAGCUAGAUCAGUUUAUGGUUUCAUCUACUAUUAGUGCUUAUGCAGGUCUGUCAACUUUAAUCGAAGGGAACUUUGAUCUCAAAGAUCUAUAUGAGGCUGUAAUAGUAGGGCCCUCGGAAUCUAAUGAUAAAGCAAAUUUUGUGUAUUCAUGUUCUGGUGGCUCUUUGGAUUUUAGGGUUGAUGAUUUUGUUCA
This is a long non-coding RNA of Prosopis cineraria, 453 nucleotides long. RefSeq lists it as uncharacterized. The record is from RefSeq and is a predicted model, not a curated record. NCBI's taxonomy places the organism in Eukaryota, Viridiplantae, Streptophyta, Magnoliopsida, Fabales, Fabaceae. The transcript is spliced from 2 exons.